RNAcentral lists this ribosomal RNA (550 nucleotides) under uncultured bacterium. RNAcentral describes it as "bacterial SSU rRNA". It matches the Rfam family "Bacterial small subunit ribosomal RNA", at positions 355 to 896 of the family's 1533-position model. The record is from RNAcentral.
UAGGGAAUCUUCGGCAAUGGGGGCAACCCUGACCGAGCAACGCCGCGUGAGUGAAGAAGGUUUUCGGAUCGUAAAGCUCUGUUGUAAGAGAAGAACGAGUGUGAGAGUGGAAAGUUCACACUGUGACGGUAACUUACCAGAAAGGGACGGCUAACUACGUGCCAGCAGCCGCGGUAAUACGUAGGUCCCGAGCGUUAUCCGGAUUUAUUGGGCGUAAAGCGAGCGCAGGCGGUUAGAUAAGUCUGAAGUUAAAGGCUGUGGCUUAACCAUAGUACGCUUUGGAAACUGUUUAACUUGAGUGCAGAAGGGGAGAGUGGAAUUCCAUGUGUAGCGGUGAAAUGCGUAGAUAUAUGGAGGAACACCGGUGGCGAAAGCGGCUCUCUGGUCUGUAACUGACGCUGAGGCUCGAAAGCGUGGGGAGCAAACAGGAUUAGAUACCCUGGUAGUCCACGCUGUAAACGAUGAGUGCUAGGUGUUAGACCCUUUCCGGGGUUUAGUGCCGUAGCUAACGCAUUAAGCACUCCGCCUGGGGAGUACGACCGCAAGGUUG